UACGUAGGGUGCAAGCGUUUGUCCGGAAUUAUUGGGCGUAAAGAGCUCGUAGGUGGCUUGUCACGUCGGGUGUGAAAUCCCAGGGCUUAACUCUGGGUCUGCAUUCGAUACGGGCUGGCUAGGGUCCUUCAGGGGAGACUGGAAUUCCUGGUGUAGCGGUGAAAUGCGCAGAUAUCAGGAGGAACACCGAUGGCGAAGGCAGAUCUCUGGGCCGUAACUGACGCUGAGGAGCGAAAGCAUGGGGAGCGAACAGG
RNAcentral lists this ribosomal RNA (254 nucleotides) under uncultured bacterium. Its description in RNAcentral is "partial 16S ribosomal RNA". It matches the Rfam family "Bacterial small subunit ribosomal RNA", at positions 524 to 776 of the family's 1533-position model. The record is from RNAcentral.